AGUGAACGCUGGCGGUAUGCCUAACACAUGCGAGUCGAACGGCAGCACAGUAAGAGCUUGCUCUUACGGGUGGCGAGUGGCGGACGGGUGAGGAAUACAUCGGAAUCUACUUUUUCGUGGGGGAUAACGUAGGGAAACUUACGCUAAUACCGCAUACGACCUACGGGUGAAAGCAGGGGAUCUUCGGACCUUUCGCGAUUGAAUGAGCCGAUGUCGGAUUAGCUAGUUGGCGGGGUAAAGGCCCACCAAGGCGACGAUCCGUAGCUGGUCUGAGAGGAUGAUCAGCCACACUGGAACUGAGACACGGUCCAGACUCCUACGGGAGGCAGCAGUGGGGAAUAUUGGACAAUGGGCGCAAGCCUGAUCCAGCCAUACCGCGUGGGUGAAGAAGGCCUUCGGGUUGUAAAGCCCUUUUGUUGGGAAAGAAAAGCAGCAGGUUAAUACCCCGCUGUUCUGACGGUACCCAAAGAAUAAGCACCGGCUAACUUCGUG
RNAcentral lists this ribosomal RNA (492 nucleotides) under uncultured bacterium. RNAcentral describes it as "partial 16S ribosomal RNA". It matches the Rfam family "Bacterial small subunit ribosomal RNA", at positions 29 to 507 of the family's 1533-position model. The record is from RNAcentral.